Molecule: transfer RNA, 78 nt
Filed under: Heterocephalus glaber (naked mole-rat)
Lineage: Eukaryota; Metazoa; Chordata; Mammalia; Rodentia; Bathyergidae
Source: Rfam by way of RNAcentral
UCCGAGAUAGCUCAGCUGGGAGAGCGUCAGACUGAAGAUCUAAAGAAUGCGUUCUAGUGUCAGUUAUGGCUUUUGGAU